GGAAUUUCUAGUGUAGAGGUGAAAUUCGUAGAUAUUAGAAAGAACACCAAUUGCGAAGGCAACUUUCUGGAUCAUUACUGACACUGAGGAGCGAAAGCAUGGGUAGCGAAGAGGAUUAGAUACCCUCGUAGUCCAUGCCGUAAACGAUGUGUGCUAGACGUUGGAAAUUUAUUUUCAGUGUCGCAGCAAAAGCAUUAAGCACACCGCCUGGGGAGUACGACCGCAAGGUUAAAACUCAAAUGAAUUGACGGGGACCCGCACAAGCAGUGGAGCAUGUGGUUUAAUUCGAAGAUACGCGCAGAACCUUACCAACACUUGACAUGUUCGUCGCGACUUUAAGAGAUUAAAGUCUUCGGUUCGGCCGGACGAAACACAGGUGCUGCAUGGCUGUCGUCAGCUCGUGUCGUGAGAUGUUGGGUUAAGUCCCGCAACGAGCGCAACCCUUACUUUUAGUUGCCAUCAUUUAGUUGGGCACUCUAAAAGAACUGCCAGUGAUAAGCUGGAGGAAGGUGGGGAUGACGUCAAGUCCUCAUGGCCCUUACGUGUUGGGCUACACACGUGCUACAAUGGUAUUUACAAUAGGAAGCAAGAUGGCGACAUCAAGCAAAUCCUAAAAAAAUACCUCAGUUCGGAUUGUACUCUGCAACUCGAGUACAUGAAGCUGGAAUUGCUAGUAAUCGCGGAUCAGCGCGCCGCGGUGAAUACGUUCCCGGGUCUUGUACACACCGCCCGUCACACCAUGGAAGCUGGUUCUACCUUAAGGCAAAGCAUAAAACCUUUGACCACGGUAUAGUCAGCGACUGGGGUGAAGUCGUAACAAGGUAACC
Molecule: ribosomal RNA, 827 nt
Filed under: uncultured Pelagibacterales bacterium
Lineage: Bacteria; Pseudomonadati; Pseudomonadota; Alphaproteobacteria; Candidatus Pelagibacterales
Description: bacterial SSU rRNA
Rfam family: Bacterial small subunit ribosomal RNA
Source: RNAcentral